AACGAACGCUGGCGGCAUGCCUAACACAUGCAAGUCGAACGAGACCUUCGGGUCUAGUGGCGCACGGGUGCGUAACGCGUGGGAACCUGCCCUCAGGUUCGGAAUAACUCCCCGAAAGGGGUGCUAAUACGGGAUAAUGUCUUCGGACCAAAGAUUUAUCGCCUUUGGUUGGGCCCGCGUUGGAUUAGCUAGUUGGUAGGGUAAAAGCCUACCAAGGCGACGAUCCAUAGCUGGUCUGAGAGGAGGAUCAGCCACACUGGGACUGAGACACGGCCCAGACUCCUACGGGAGGCAGCAGUGGGGAAUAUUGGACAAUGGGCGAAAGCCUGAUCCGGCAAUGCCGCGUGAGUGAUGAAGGCCUUAGGGUUGUAAAGCUCUUUUACCCGGGAUGAUAAUGACAGUACCGGGAGAAUAAGCUCCGGCUAACUCCGUG
RNAcentral lists this ribosomal RNA (433 nucleotides) under uncultured bacterium. Its description in RNAcentral is "partial 16S ribosomal RNA". It matches the Rfam family "Bacterial small subunit ribosomal RNA", at positions 29 to 507 of the family's 1533-position model. The record is from RNAcentral.